RNAcentral lists this ribosomal RNA (161 nucleotides) under uncultured eukaryote. RNAcentral describes it as "partial small subunit ribosomal RNA". It matches the Rfam family "Eukaryotic small subunit ribosomal RNA", at positions 1662 to 1828 of the family's 1831-position model. The record is from RNAcentral.
GUACACACCGCCCGUCGCUACUACCGAUUGAAUGGCUUAGUGAGGCCUCUGGAGCCGGUCUUGUGAGAAAUUGCGAGACUGGCAAAACUGGUCAAACUUGGUCAUUUAGAGGAAGUAAAAGUCGUAACAAGGUUUCCGUAGGUGAACCUGCAAAAGGAUCA